RNAcentral lists this ribosomal RNA (500 nucleotides) under uncultured bacterium. RNAcentral describes it as "partial 16S ribosomal RNA". It matches the Rfam family "Bacterial small subunit ribosomal RNA", at positions 28 to 523 of the family's 1533-position model. The record is from RNAcentral.
GAUGAACGCUGGAGGCGUGCUUUACACAUGCAAGUCGAACGGUAACAGGGUGCUUGCACCGCUGACGAGUGGCGAACGGGUGAGUAAUGCGUCGGAACGUGCCGAGUAGUGGGGGAUAACGCAGCGAAAGUUGUGCUAAUACCGCAUACGUACUGAGGUAGAAAGUGGGGGACCUUCGGGCCUCACGCUAUUCGAGCGGCCGACGUCUGAUUAGCUAGUAGGUGAGGUAAAGGCUCACCUAGGCGACGAUCAGUAGCGGGUCUGAGAGGAUGAUCCGCCACACUGGGACUGAGACACGGCCCAGACUCCUACGGGAGGCAGCAGUGGGGAAUUUUGGACAAUGGGCGAAAGCCUGAUCCAGCCAUGCCGCGUGUCUGAAGAAGGCCUUCGGGUUGUAAAGGACUUUUGUCAGGGAGGAAAUCCCUAGCGUUAAUACCGCUGGGGGAUGACAGUACCUGAAGAAUAAGCACCGGCUAACUACGUGCCAGCCGCCGCCGUAA